CUUCCCGGGCCUCGCGCGUGGGGCCGCAGGAGCCAAUCCGAGGGUGGGAGCGGAGCGGCGCCCUGCGGAAAGCGGAUUCUACCUCGGAGAGGGCGGGGCGGACAAUGGAGAGCUUCUAGUGCUCGGCGCUCAGAGGUGAGAGUUGGGCUGGGAAGUGUUCAGAUUUCAGGAAACGGUGAAAAAUAAGUUUUUGGAAAUGAGCGAAUUUGUCUUCCACAAGCCUCCCUUCCCUGCGCCCAUCCCCGAGGAGGAGCGUCGUGGUCAAUUUUAAAAAUACGAACUCAAGAGCAGAGUUGUGUGAGGACACACACUUCGAAUCGUGAUGCAUCUGCAGUCCGCUCCCGCCCCUUCCCACCCCGCGCGUUGGGUGCAGGAGCCGUCUUUAUUUUCUAUUUCAUUUUAUUUUGAGACAGGGUCCCGCUCUGUGGCCCAGGCUGGAGUGCAGUGGCACUAUCACGGCUCACUGCAGCCUCGAACUUCCAGGCUAAAGAGAUCCUCCCACCUGUGCCUCCGGAGUAGCUGUGACUACAGGCGUGCACCACCACAUCUGGCUAAUUUUUAAAUUUUUUGUAGAGACAGGGUCUCCCUAUGUUUUCCAGGCUGGUCUCGAUCUCCUGGGUUCCGGCGAUCCUCCUGCCUCGACCUCCCAAAGUGCUGAGAUUAUAGGUGUGAGCCCUGUGCUUGGCCAAGGAGCCGUCUUCAGUGUGUGCACAGGACCAGGCGCAGAGAAGGUGUUGGAGGGAACUGAUGUAUGAAUGAAAGUUGAAUGUGUGCCGCGGGGGAGUGGGGUAGGGACCAUGUGAAAGCCGCUAACUGGCCUGGGGAGCUAAGGGAUGUUGGUGGCACAGUACAGUCUCUUUGUAAACCUCACACCAACCUUAUGUUGUGAUAGGUACCCCAUUUCACAGAUGAGGACUCAGCACAGAGAGGCUAAGUGACGUUCCCGAGACCACACAGCUGGCACAGAGUUCUAUCCACCCAUCAUUAUCAAAUUCUAGGGUAAAGCUGUGUGGCUUUAACAGGUUACUCUCCCUCUCUGAGCCUCUGUUUCCUCAUCUAUAAAAGAAGAAUAAAGGUGCUACUUGGCAGGGAACCAGGUGAGGGACUGGGCAGGCAGCAGGCUUCAGAGGGUGAAGCAUGGGCAUUCCCUGCAAAAGAAAUGGCAUCAGACUAUGGCUGAGAGACUGGUUGGAAGAACAAAGAAGAGGGUGAGCUGGAGGCUGAAGUUCAGGCUGCGGACUUGAGGGUGCCCUGUCUUCUUCAGGCCCAGGGGUUGGGAGUAGGCAAGUUGGGCCCAGGAAGUUGGGACUGGUCUCUGGAGCCUGAGGGCUGGGAGAAGGCAGUUUUGCCUUUACUUGUUGAACUUGACGCUAAGAAACCUUGUGGCCCUUCCCUCUGUCCAGAGCCCUCUCUGGCUCCCGGUUGCCAGCAUGACCAAGCCCUACAUCCCUAGCCUGGCGUUCCAGCCCCUUUGUUAUUGCUCUCUGCCUGCUGACUCCACCAGCCUCAUCUCCCCAUUGCUUACUUCCCUCUCUACUUGCGCCAACUUCUCUCAGCUCCAUCAGCAAGCAGGAUGCAUUCUGUCUCCAUGCAGUUGUCUCCUCCAUGUGUUGCUUUGCUGUUCCCCUUCUCUCUGGAGUUAAUUCUCAUUUCUCUGCUGGGCUGAAGGGCAGAACCUCUAGGCCAAAUGCUCAUCUGUUCUCUUCACUGCUGUAUCCCCAGAGCCUAGCACGGAGCCUGGCACAUAGUAGGUGCCAAGUAAACAAUUGUUGAAUAAAUGACCCAUCUCUCAUGAGAUUUAUCAAGAUUUAUCUCCACCAAGAUUUAUCACCACCUCCGAGAAGCCUUCCUGAACUCCCCCAGGCUGCCUGCCUUUGGUCUGGGCUCCCUCAGCUUGAAGGUUCUGUAAUGAUUGAUUUCCAUGUCUGGUUUCCCUCCCACCCGCCACCAUCCAGCCUGGUACAUGGCCUGCCCUUGUGAGAUCUCGGCACUGGGAGAUGAAUGAGGCUCUCAGAGAGUUCUCUGGCUGCCCCUGCUGCGAGAGCCUCCUUAGCUGGGUCAGAUGAGCAGGAUGUCAGAAUAAAAGGAGAUUUUCAGAACAGACCCUCCAUGACCCCUGAGGCGCUGGGGGUGUGUGAGGGGGAGGCAUGCCCAAGGUCGUCAGGAGGUGACUAGCAAACAGGUCUCAAGACACCCACAUUUGCCCUCUGGCCACUCUUCCAAAGGGGAGGGAGUCUUGUGAGCUGGGGAAUCUGGCCUUUUGGUGGCCAAGGAGUUCCAUGAAGCAUGACAGAGGUGGUCAUGGUGGCUGGUCUGGGCGGUGGUCGAGGGUGAGGCUACACGGAAACAUUAGCCUUUUCUGCCUGAUGCCCUACUUCUCCCAAGAACCUUCUACCUUCCUUACAUUCUUCUCACCGGAGGCAGCAGCUUCAGCUUCGGGCCCCAGGGCUGUUAAACGCAGCUCCUCCCAUUCUUAUGGCAGAUAGACAUUCACUUUCACGUCUACAUUUAUAUUAGUAUUUUGCAGUUUUUCUUAAACAGGGCCACUGAAUUGUAUGAGGCUCCACACCCCUGGAGAUCUACUUCCAACAAAUCCUUCCACUGCGUCCAUAUAUGCAGGUCCUGUGUGAGGCGUUGGCAGGGACGCUCUGCCCUCCUGCAGCUCCCUGUCUGGUGGGGUGAUUGGGCUCCACUGAGCUCAUUGAGCCCUCAAAAUGCUUCAUGCCUUCCUACCCCUCUGCCUCCGUCCCUGCCAGCCUGGAGUCCUUUCCCUGUCCCUCCUGCCUGCAUGUGUCCCGCUUGCCUAGUGGAUUUUCUCCAUCCUUCAAGGCCCUUCUCACAAGCUGAUGCCUCUGAGAACCCUGCCCACUUCUCCCAGUGACAAGCACAGCCUCUUCCUUUGGAGCCUGUGGCACCGAAGGCCCUUUGCCUCUUCUGAUGCCUUUGGAUCUGGGCUGCUGUUGAUGGGUCAAUUUUCCCACCAGAUUAUGAGCUUUUGGAGGGCAAGGGGUGGAGUCUGAUUUCUCGCUGCCCGAGUCCCUCAUUCACCAAUGUUUCCUGAGUUGGACCAAGUCCUAUACCAAACAUUGGGUAUCCAGGGAUGGGACAAUCAGAUGAGAACCUGCCCUCAUCAUCGAGGAGCCCCCAGUCCCAGAGCUGUCUGCAUGGAAAUGUGUACCAAGUGCUUUCUGAACAGAGGAGGCUGCCUGAUUCAGCUGGAGGAGGGCAAGCUGGGUCAAGGGCAGCUUCACAGGGAGGGUGACACUUGGGUAUUUAAGAAGCAGAACUUAUCAAGAUAAGGAGGGAAGCGUCUUCUGGGCAGACGGAACAUUGAGCGCAAAGGCAUGAAAGUGGGAAUGGGCAGGUGGAGGGUGAGAAGUUAGUGUAUUUAGGGCAACAGAAAUGACGGAGGGAGAAGUGGGUUGCACAACAGAGCAGUUAGAGCACAGACUCUGGAGCCACAUGGCCUAGGUUCGAAUCCUGACACUACCAAGUGCUAGCUCUGUUGUUACUCAGUGCCUCAGUUUCCUUAUCUGUAGAGUGGGGAUAAUCCCAGUACUUACUUUGUAGGAUAUUUAUAAGGAUUAAGUGAGUUAAUUUUUGUAAGGCACCUAGGGUAGUGUUGAUGACACACGUAAGUUCCUAGUGAGUGUUAGGUAAAUGAGGGGGAGCCGGAGAGGCCAUGAUAGGUGGGGUUCAUGUUUGGAAUUUAUCUGGAGGACAUUGGAGCAUUAGCAAGGAGGGAGUGUGAAGGGGAGUGGGAAGCUUGGCUUGGACCCAGCCUGCUCUGCCCACUCACGCACAUCCAGAGGGCAUCCCUGGGACCCCCACCUGCCUGCCCCUCCUGCUCUCUGGUCUUCCACUGCCCUCAGUGGCCCUGUGGCCUCAACUAACCUCAGCUGAUGUAUAACAGGGCUGUAGGAGCUGGGGCCACACCUACCCCAGUACACCUGGGGGAAACUUUAUGUUCCAGUUUAUUGCCAAAGGAGGUCAAGUAGGGGUCCCGAGGGGAUCCGGGACACAUGUGCAGGGUGAGCAUCUGAGCUGUAGCCUGGCUUAACGCAUGGUGGAUUUGGUAAGAGUGUGUAUGUGGAAUGGGGAGUGGAGAGGGGCUGGAGGCACUUGCCUGGCCUGGAGAGCUGGUUGGAUGUAGGGCACUGUGGGCUGUGAUGCUGUGGGCUUGGGAGCCAGGUGCACAUCCUGGCCCAGUCACCUUCCCUCUCUGUGCCUGAGAUUCCUGUGGGUAAAAGGGAGAUGAAAAUAGUAGCUCCUUCAGGCCGGUUAGCUCAGUUGGGAAAAAAAAGAAAAAGAAAAUAGUGGCUACUUCAAAGGUGGUAAGGAUGAAAAGAUCAAAUGUUCAGUCAGUGAGGCCUGAGGUACAUGGUGUAUAUCUGGGAGACCAAAAUCAAUUCUGUAGUACCAAGGCCGAAAGGUCAAGAGAGACUGUGGCUGGAGAGCCAGGCAGAGGGACGUGCCACACAAGGUCUUAGUCAAGAGUUGGCCUCUGUGCUGAGGGUGGAGGGGAGCCAUGGGAGGGUUUCACAGGGACAACAAGGUCAUAUGUGCUUCUCAGAGAUCACUGAGGUAGACAGACUGGGGCCUGUGUUAAGAGUCAAGGUGACAAGGAGAGGCGCGGGUCUGAGCCUGGGCCCCGGCUGUGGCCCAAGUGGGUGGGAGGCAUCCCAGAACAUCUACAGGGAAAGAGGCUCGAGCUACUGAUUUGUGUCCACGUAGGGCAAGAGUGAGCUAGAAAUGCCUGGGUGACUCCCAGGGCCCAGCUGGUGGUGCCAUUUCCUGGGGUGGGGAGCCUGGAGAUGCAGGUAUGGGGAAAGGUGAUGAUGUGGCUUGGGGACACAGUGAGUUUGAGGGACCAUUGGGAGAUACAUGGGAUAUUCCUCGGUAGAGCUCUGGGGGGCGGGGCCGGGCUUGAGUCCACCUCUUGGGAAUGGACAGCCUUUGGGAGGAGAGGCUGAGUAGCCCCUGGGAGGGAAGCGUGGCUCACCACGGAUGAAAACCAACAGGGAGGGGAUGGGCAGGGGCAGGGGCCUGAGGAGGAGCCCUCUGAGGGGAAGAAGAGGACAGAGGGGAGCAGACAGUGAGAGGAGAGUGUGCAGGGAGAGGUUAGCCAGGGCCGGGAGGGCCAGGAUGGAGGUGUCCCCUGGGGUGGGCCAUUGGGACUGUGGGUGACUUGGGAAGGGUGAUGUGCAUAGGGUGGGAGGCAGGAGCAGGGGCUCACUUGGUGACAUGGUGGACAGCCCCUUUCAGGGCAGCUGGCAGGGCAACAUGGUUGGAUGGCAGCUGGCGGGGAAGGCAGAGGCAGAGGAGGGUUUUGGUUUUGGUGUUGGUUCCUGGAGGAGGGCUUCAGUUAAAGCUCUGUGAAUAAGGGAGGGGCAGGAAGCUGACCUGGGACUGAGGAGAGGCUGUAUUUGGGGGUUGGGGGUGAGGACCACAGUGGGGACAGGAGAGACAGAGCUGAAGCAGCCCCUUCUCACUUCGUAGAGGGGGCUUUGGGAAAUGUCUGUGUCAAGUUAAUAAAAAAUGAUAUCAUGGCUGGGUGGGGUAGCUGACACAUGUAAUCCCAGCACUUUGGGAGGCCAAGGCGGAUGGAUCACUUGAGGCCAGGGGUUUGAGACCAGCCUGGCCAACAUAGUGAAACCCCAUCUCUACUAAAAAUACAAAAAUUAGCCACGUGUGGUGGUGCAUGCCUGUAGUCCCAGCUACUUGGGAAGCAUGAGGCAUGAGGUGGAGGCUGCAGAGAGCUGAGAUCGUGCCACUUCACUCCACCCUGGGAGACCCUGUCUCAAAAAAAAAAAGAUACCUGACCCCCUUUCUCAUUCUCCUGGAUCACUGUUCAGGCUCCAGUCUUGCAAGGCUGGGGAGCUUCACAUUCCUUUCUGACCCCAGAUCCUGGAAGCUUCCUCUCCCACCAGGUCUUGUCGCCAGCCAGUGGGAAUAACCGAGGUCACCAUAAUGCCAUGCUGACCCUUCCCCAGAGCCUUUGGAUGCUCACUAGAAGAACUAUCUGCUUUGUCCCCACCAUUGUCAGUUGCCGGGGACUGCUUCCCUCCAACCCCCACCAUGAACUUGCCAGAUUGAUUUCUGUGUCGCAGCACAGGGUGUGGCCACACCCAGUAGGCACUCAAUACCUUUAACUGUAGAAAUGCAGAGGGAAUGCCUUCAUUUGGCUGCCUCUGCUGCCCCCUGCUGUCUGAGACUGGUUGGUACAACAUUAAAGGGCUGGUUCUGGAACUUAAUGGUUUCGGGACCCCUUUUCUUGCCUAAAAAUUAUUGAGGACCCCAAAGAACAUCUGUUUAUACGUUUUAUGUCUAUUGGUAUUUACAGUAAUAUAAAUUUAAAUUGAUAUGUUUUUAAAAUAUUCAUAUUAUAUGAUUAAAAUAAUAAAUGUAGUGUAACAACAUAUUUUUAGAAAAAAUAUUUCCCAAAAUAAAAAAUUAAUGAGAAAAGUGGCAUUAUUUUAUAUGUUUACAAAUUUCUUUAAUGUCUUGAUAGAAGACAGCUGGAUUUUCAAACACACUUCUGCAUUUAAUCUGAUGCAAUAUGUUGUUUUAAGUGAAGUUUAUGAAGAAAAUACAGGCUUACGCAAAUACAUAGUUGUAAAAGGGAUAUGUUAACAGCCCUUUCAAAUAAUUGUGGCUAUUCUUUUUUUUAUUUUUUAGAGGCAGGAUCUUGCUCUGUUGGCCAGGCUGGAGUGCAGUGGCAUGAUCAUAGCUCACUGUAACCUCAAACUCUUGGGCUCAAGUGAUCCUUUCACCUCAGCCUCCCAAGUAGCAAGGACUACAGGUACUCACCACCACACUCAGCUCAUUUUUCUUUUUUUUGGUACAGAUGGGGUCUCACUAUGUUGCCCAGGCUGGUCUUUUCCUGGCCUCAAGCAAUCCUCCUGCCUCAGCUUCCCUAAGUGCUGGGAUUACAGGUGUGAACUACUGAGCCUGGCUAUUCUUUUUUGAUACUAGCCAAAACUUGACAAGUGCUGUUUUUUUUUUUUGAAGGUUAGUUGUGAUUAGAAUCUGAAAUCUAGCCGGGCGCAGUGGCUCAUGCCUGUAAUCCCAGCACUUUGGGAGGCUGAGGUGGGUGGAUCACGAGGUCAGGAGUUCGAGACCAGCUUGGCCAAUAUGGUGAAACCCCGUCUCUACUAAAAAUACAAAAAUUAGCUGGGCAUGGUGGCGCCUGCCUGUAGUCCCAGCUGCUCGGGAGGCUGAGGCAGGAGAAUCUCUUGAACCCGGGAGGCGGAGGUUGCAGUGAGCCAAGAUUCUGCCACUGCACUCAGUCUCAAAAAAAAAAAAAAAAAUCUGAAAUCCUAUCAAUGAAAUUUUUAUGUUCAAUUACAUUAAAAUACAUUAGACUCUUUCGCAUUUUGGAUAUAUCUUUUGCCCAAGCAUGAUGUUAUAACUUAAUGCACUGGCUGUUUGGAAAAAAAUGGUUCACCAAGUUAUGCAGGUCUUUCAAAUAUUGACAAAUAUUAGUAUACUAUGUUUUAAAAAUCACAUUAGUUAAUAUCAACACCGAUCUCAUCAGAGAAGUCUUUAAGUAUUGGGAAGCUGCCAAGGUCACAGUGGUGAACACAAGGUUUCUAAAAUUCCAAUUUUCACUUGAGCUUGGGUUUCAUCAUUAGCAAUAAAUACUGUCAGUUUGCUGUGAAAUGACAGAUUCAUUUUAUUCAUUCUUGAGAAAAUGUCUGCCAGAGACUCAAGUCUGCAUAAGCAUAAUUUAUCUGUCAGUAUUUCUUUCAGGUCAAAAUGGUGUUCCAUGAAAAAAAAAAAGUGACUAGUUAAGCUCACAGUUCAAACAAGUGCAAAUGCUUUUCUGGAGACAACCAUUGUGCUGCAUCGGAUAUGGCAGAAGUGCUCUAUGUUGCUUCCCAGAAUAUUAAAAAGAUGUAUACUCAAGGACCAGUAUAUUGUGAAUGGGAUCAUUUUUAUUGCUGCAUCAAAGACUUUCCUGGUCGAUGUUGGCAGUGUUUUCCUAUGAGGGCGUGGCAGUGAAAAAUGCGAUGACUUCCUGUACAUCGCAUUGGAGGCCGCCACGUUGGCUUUUGCACCGUCAGGGAAAUGUCAACCCAGCAAAAAAGGCAAAUGAUGCCUUAGUCUCAUUAUGAAAAGAGUUUUGACCUUGCAGACUUCCCCAGCAGGGUCUGUACUUGGCAUUCAUGUUUUAAUUUAACGUUCUCAUACCAGAAGCAGGGCUCAGUCACCCUUGACACAGUUUCCAAUACUAUGCCCCACCCGAAUGGCUCCAGCUGGUGGCUGGAGAUAAAACUUAGAGGCUUCUCUCCCACCUAGCAGGCUGGCUCCUGGCCUUCCCGCUCUCUCCUUUAAACGGACCAUUCAGACAUGAGCUUGUCAACUGGAAGUGACCACCUCUCAGUCACAGUGUGACCAACUGGAACUAGUGCCUGCUUGCUUUAAACCUACCAAUUAAAGCUCCCUGAGGGAAAGCUGGACACCCUCGACCCAAUAUAGGCAGUGGCCCAUGGGUCUUGUCUCUUCCUGCCUGCACUCCCUGACGUGUGUGUGUGUGUGUGUGUGUGUGUGUGUCCGUGUGUGAGAGAGAGACAGAGACACCUCUGUUGUGCCCUCCAGGGUGUGUAAGUACUAAACAUUUUUACACUUUCACACUGUGGUUUUAUCCCCUGAAGGUGAGGCCACUGAAGGACCCAUGCAGGUGGGUCCCCUCCCUACUGGCGCUCUUUUUUUUUGAGCCCCUCCACUGUUGGGAACAGCUACCAGUUAAGUUGAUAGAGUUUCCUUCAAAACAUAGCCCUGACACCCUCUCAGAACAGAGGGGCCUCCUUAUCUCCAGGAGCAGCAGGGGAGGGGGAAGGAAGAGGAGAGUUGAGAGAAGACACCUGCCCCUCUCAUCAUGUGCUUAAGAGGCACCCAUGGGCACUGUUCAGGGCCGAAAAUUAGAAAUACCCCAACCAGCCAGUACCAUGGGGGUGGUGAUAGGAACCCUGGCUUCCUAGAAUAACUCAGUUCCAGGAACCUGUGCUGAGGGCCCAGUCCAUGCCAGACCUGAGGCUGGCACUAGAGAUGCAAAAUGCAAUCAGACCCUGCCCCCUCCCCUUGAGGAGUGUUCAGUUUAGUGGGGGAGAGAAGGGUGCCACAUCAGUAAUAAAAACAGACCCCUUUAUUUUUGUUAACUUUACCAAAUGAAAUUUUAUAAAUUCAAAGUGCCAUCUACUGCUUCCUCCCGGGUUCUCUUCUUUCCCCCAGCACCCCUGCCCCCCAACACCAGGUUCUCUUCUGUAACACUCAACGCGAGGGUCCGAGGCUUCAUUCUUGAAGUCAGUGAGACCAAGAACCCUCCAAUUCCGGACACAGCGUCACCCUUAUUAUACAACAGGCUGUUUUCCUAUGCUGUCCAAAACUGCAUCGAUUCCCCCUAAAGCCGCUCCUUCAGUAUUCUCCAUCUCUGUGACAGAUCCCAACAUCCUAGACAUCACCCCCUAUAGCCCGUCAGUCACAGAGAUGCAGGGAAGGGAAUUCUAAAGCUACUGGAGGCCAGGCAUGGUGGCUCACGCCUAUAAGCCCAGCACUUUGGGAGGCCGAGGCGGGCGGAUCACUUGAGGUCAAGAGUUCAAGACCAGUCUGACCAACAUGGUGAAACCCCGUCUCUACUAAAAAUACAAAAAUUAGCUGGGCCUGGUGGCGCGCGCCUGUAAUUCCAGCCACUCGGGAGGCUGAGGGAUGAGAAUCACUUGAACCCAGGAGGUGGAAGUUGAGGUGAGCUGAGAUUGCACCACUGCACUCCAGCCUGUGUGAUGGAGUGACAGAAAGGGAGGGAGGGAGGGAGGGAGGAAGGAAGGAAGGAGGGGAGGAAGAGAACAAAAGAAAAAAAGAGAAAGCAAGCUAGCUACUGGAGUGUCCAGGCUCCCAACUCUGGAGUUUCUAUCUCCUGAACAUCUAAACAUUUUUCCAUCCACUCCUUGACCCUGUGGCUCCCAUAAUCACCUCCAAGGCCAGUGCCCAUCAUGUCAGCCUCUUCGGUGCUCUCCCUGCCUCCUCUCUUGCCCUCUCCUAUCCACUUCCCACUAUUUCAGAUCUGAGCACAGCAUUCUCUUGAUUAAAACUCCUCAGUGGCUCCCCUCUCUUGGCUCUCAGCAGCACAUGCUGGGCCCUCUACACCCAAGUCAACCUGGAAGGCACAGCUCCCGUGUCUCCUCCUCCAGGAAGCCUCCCUCUGACCAUGAGGUGGGCCUACCAUCUGGGAAAGGUGGAAGGGAAGGAGGGAUUAAGUAGAAAGAGCCUCAGACUGCACUGCAGCUCCGAGAAAGCCUCAGCCAGCCCAGUGGGGAGGCCAGAGCACAAAUUAGCUGUUAGAGGCUGGGCGUGGUGGCUCACACCUGUAGUCCCAGCUACUUGGGAGGCUGAGGCAGAAGGAUCGCUUGAGCCUGGGAGGCGGAGGUUGCAGUGAGCUGAAAUUGUGCCAUUGUGCUCCAGCCUGGGCCACAGAGUGAUACUCUGGCUCAAAAACAAACAAACAAAACAAAAACAAACAAACAAACAAAAAACAGAGGAGACAUCUGCUGGGCAGAAACGGCCAGACCUCCUUCUCCCACUGAGCUGAGUCAUUGGCUAGGGCUGCCCAAGGAGAAAGUGGCCUUGUCAGGAACACAGCAGUAGAUCCCAGGGUGUUGCUGCUGGGAUCUGUUGCUAACGACACUCCUGCUCUACACUCUCUUAAAGGAAGAUCUGAGUGGCAAACCUCCAUGGCUUGAUGGAUGUUAAAGUUGGAAGGAAUUUAAGAGAUGCUCUAGGCCAGCCGCUGUCACAUUUUACAGAUGAGAAAACUGAGGUUGGCCAGAGGAAGUGACUUGCCCAAAGCCACCCAGCAUGUAAACCAAUAUGCAAACCCAGGUUCUGACACCCAAGUCUGCGCUCUUCUGAAUCAUUGCUGACUCAGAGUCACAGUGGGGCUAGAGGGCAGUGGGAGGAGAGUGGCAAGGUAUGACUUCAGGACGCGGCUCAGGUGUCACUUCCUCACAGAAGCCCUGCCUGGACCCAAGCUCUUCUCUGGGCUCCCCGAGGCCUCUAUCCACUCAUUUACCAGUCAGUUCUGUGAAUGUCAGCUUGUGUGUCUGCUUCCAUGAGGCCAUGUCCCCAGCACCCAGCAUGGGACCCGGAACAUCGUGCUACAUGUGAAGGUACACGCCUCUGGUUUCUACUGCCCUCUCUGGCAGCUCAACCCUCCAGGACAGAAGAGCAAUCGGUUCCGCUAUUCGUUGCUUCCUUCCUUUCUUCCUGCUUUAAAUAAAUGUAUACUGAGUGAUUACUUCAUACAGUCCUGGGGACACAGCGGUGAAAAAUUUUGCCUUCAUGAAAUUUACUUUCUAGUAGAGGGAGGUAGACAAUAAGCAAAACAAAUACAAGGAGUGGUGUAUUAGAUGGGAUACAUGCUAUGGGCAAAAGAAAGAGCCUCAGAGA
RNAcentral lists this long non-coding RNA (11445 nucleotides) under Homo sapiens (human). RNAcentral's name for it is "non-protein coding lnc-SERPINH1-3:1". The record is from RNAcentral. Lineage: Eukaryota; Metazoa; Chordata; Mammalia; Primates; Hominidae.